UAUUGGCCAAUGGGGGCAGCCCCGAUCACGCCAUACCGCGUGUGUGAAGAACGUCUUUGGCUUGUUAAGCACUUUUAGUUGGGAGGAUGGGCCUUAGGUUAAUACUCUGUAGUUCUGACGUUACUAUCAGAAUAAGCACCUGCUAUCUCUGUGCCAGCAGCCGCGGUAAUACAGAGGGUGCAAGCGUUAAUCGGAAUUACUGGGCGUAAAGCGCGCGUAGGUGGUUCAGUAAGAUGGGUGUGAAAUCCCCGGGCUUAACCUGGGAACUGCUUUCAUAACUGCUGAGCUAGAGUACGGUAGAGGGUAGUGGAAUUUCCUGUGUAGCGGUGAAAUGCGUAGAUAUAGGAAGGAACACCAGUGGCGAAGGCGACUACCUGGACUGAUACUGACACUGAGGUGCGAAAGAGUGGGGAGCAAAC
RNAcentral lists this ribosomal RNA (419 nucleotides) under uncultured bacterium. RNAcentral describes it as "partial 16S ribosomal RNA". It matches the Rfam family "Bacterial small subunit ribosomal RNA", at positions 362 to 773 of the family's 1533-position model. The record is from RNAcentral.